RNAcentral lists this ribosomal RNA (330 nucleotides) under uncultured eukaryote. RNAcentral's name for it is "partial 18S ribosomal RNA". It matches the Rfam family "Eukaryotic small subunit ribosomal RNA", at positions 1470 to 1796 of the family's 1831-position model. The record is from RNAcentral.
CCCUUAGAUGUUCUGGGCCGCACGCGUGCUACACUGACCGGCGCAACAAGCUUUUUUCCUUGGCUCGACAGGCCUGGGUAAUCUUCGAACGCCGGUCGUGAUGGGGAUAGAUCCUUGCAAUUUUUGAUCUUCAACGAGGAAUUCCUAGUAAAUGCGAGUCAUCAUCUCGCGUUGAUUACGUCCCUGCCCUUUGUACACACCGCCCGUCGCACCUACCGAUUGAAUGGUCCGGUGAAUCUUUAGGACUGUGGCUGAGGCCUUGCCUUGUGCGGGUCUGGCCGUGGGAAUUUAGUUAAACCUUACCAUUUAGAGGAAGGUGAAGUCGUAACA